UGAUCUGCAGCUGCUCGAGAUCGCCGAGAAUGACAUUUUCGAACUCGACCGUCUCCUUGGCGGGAUUCGUGUCAUCGAAUCUCAUGAUCAGCGUUCCUUGGAACGCCAAGGCGUAGUACUGAUUCAGCAGUGCCGCCUUAGCAUGACCAAUGUGGAGAUAGCCAGAGGCUUCUGGCGGGAAGCGCACAACCACCUUGCCCAUCUCGGCUCCUGGCAGGUCCACGAACUUGCCCUCCUGCUUGCGCUCGCCCGUUUUGGCAGGUGUCUGCUCCUUGGAAGACUGUGGACUCCUCUUAACCUUUGCAUCCUCUGGCAGGGACUGCAGCACCUUCUGGAUCAACGGCUGGGCGGUGAUGAGGUCAUACCAACGCUGCACGUGCUGAGGAAUUCCCUUAGCGGCGAGGAACUCAUAGCGCGAGUGCAUCUCGUUGAACAGUGCAAAAUCGGCGAUAGUCAGCUUGUUGGCCACCAGGUAGGUCACCGGGGCAAUGGACUUGUCCAGGAAGGAGAGAGCCCAGGAUAUGUCAUCCUCGCAGGUCAGUGAGAAAGACAGCCAGUGAUCAAUCUGUGUCCGUUCGAUGGCCGUUUCCCCGUACAGCUUGUAGUCCGGAGCAGCGCGAGCGAGGGCGCGCAGCACAUCGUUGUUGGAGUGGCACACCAACAGGCGAUUAUCUGGGAACUGCAGCGAAGUCUCCUCCUUGCUCCACACUAUCUCCACGGGCACCGUGCCAUUGAUUAGGUGCGCCGUCGCCAGGCCACCUAGUUGAAUGACUCAAUUAAUAUCACACGAUACCGGGGCUGAUGCAAUAAAAGAGGGUUCGAAUGGAUUGCCGAAUAUAUUGUGUACAUAAAUAGACCCCGAUGCGGAUAUAACCUCACUAAGUGCAAAUCCUCCGGGCACUGAAGGUCACAGCAGCCGGCAUCCGUUUGAUACUCACUUAUGGGCGGAUUGUUAAGGUUCGCUUUGAGCUUUAUUGACAUGUUCGCAGGUUGUUUGUUUGCAAUUGAAAUCAAACUGAUGAAAUUUCGGCUUUUAAACGGCACGAGUACGGCCAGCUGCUAACGUCUACACAGUCCAAUAGAG
This is a non-coding RNA of Drosophila melanogaster (fruit fly), 1084 nucleotides long. The record is from Ensembl. NCBI's taxonomy places the organism in Eukaryota, Metazoa, Arthropoda, Insecta, Diptera, Drosophilidae.